UGGGGAAUCUUCCGCAAUGGACGAAAGUCUGACGGAGCAACGCCGCGUGAGUGAUGACGGCCUUCGGGUUGUAAAGCUCUGUUAAUCGGGACGAAUGGUUCUUGUGCGAAUAGUGCAAGGAUUUGACGGUACCGGAAUAGAAAGCCACGGCUAACUACGUGCCAGCAGCCGCGGUAAUACGUAGGUGGCAAGCGUUGUCCGGAAUUAUUGGGCGUAAAGCGCGCGCAGGCGGAUUGGUCAGUCUGUCUUAAAAGUUCGGGGCUUAACCCCGUGAUGGGAUGGAAACUGCCAAUCUAGAGUAUCGGAGAGGAAAGUGGAAUUCCUAGUGUAGCGGUGAAAUGCGUAGAUAUUAGGAAGAACACCAGUGGCGAAGGCGACUUUCUGGACGAAAACUGACGCUGAGGCGCGAAAGCCUGGGGAGCGAACGGG
Molecule: ribosomal RNA, 429 nt
Filed under: bacterium
Lineage: Bacteria
Description: partial 16S ribosomal RNA
Rfam family: Bacterial small subunit ribosomal RNA
Source: RNAcentral